GUGCUUGCUACAGCAGCACACACACUAAAACUGGAACAGUACAGAAGAGAUUACCAUGGCCCCUCCACCAAAGAUGACAGGAAAAUUUGUGAAGUAUACCAUAUUUUU
Small nuclear RNA from Microtus ochrogaster (prairie vole), 108 nucleotides. The record is from Ensembl. Lineage: Eukaryota; Metazoa; Chordata; Mammalia; Rodentia; Cricetidae.